CAGGGACCUGCAAUUAAGCAUUUCUAAAAUGGGACUCCAGUUACUAAAACCGGCUUUUCCACACAGCUUCUCAGGACGCCUGCCAAUCGCAGCUCUUCCCUCCUGCUCUUCACCCCCUUCAGGGAACUGGACCCAGCAGAGGCUGGGACUGGAGAUGACCGGGCACUCCGCCUUAGCCCAGCCCGCUCCCUGGGCCUUGGGCCCCUCUUUGGGAGUUGCGUGGUGGCAGGGCCUUGCCGGGGGAACUUUUCUUUAUGCCUGAAGUUUGGCUUCUGGCCCAGUGACAUGGGGGUUUCCAGAAUGGUGACAGCCCUGUCCUAGCAGGGACAGGCCCAGGCACUUCCUCCCAGCGCCUCUGGGAACGUCAGCCCCACAGCGGCUGUCACUGGGCGUAGGGAACAGUUGUGGAGUCAGCAGAGGCCGUCUUCAGUGCUUCCCACGCCUUCAGGGACACCAUGUCAUGAAUCUCAAAACCCAUCUUCUCCUUGCCUAGGGCUGAGCUGGGGAAGAAGACACAGGUGGCCCAGCUGGGCCCAGCCCUCAGAGAACAGCUAACCCCUCAGGAAACAAAUAACCAACUCCAAGACAGCAGGAGGUGUGCCGCGGCCAGGGCCUGUGGUAGAGGCAGCUCUGAAUCACCCUGGCUCAGGUGGAGAACCCAAGAGGACAGCCAUGAGAAGGAUUUGUCCUGCCAAGGGACAGAAGCAGAAGGGACAGUCAGAAGGCCUCGAGGAGAAGGUGACAAGUGAGCAGGGUGUCGACAGGUGAAAGGGAGUUUGCUGGGCCGAGAAAGGGAAGGACACUGGAGCUGCCAUCUGUGUCCACUGCAGGCGGAGCAGGAGGAGUCCUGGUGAAGGCAAAGGCACUGGGUGAUCAGGAGGCGAGAGGUCCAGCAGGCCUGUCCUGGGGGUCAGUCCAGGGGGAGAGGGUGAGCACUGUCUUCCCUGCCCGGCAUCUGUCCCUUUAUUCUGGCGUCGUCCAAAAUACAGUCUUGCAGAGUCUCCAGCAAUACGGUGYCUACCCCGAGCUCUAAAAGUGAGUUUGAAGCUUGUGCUUGGCCACGCUGGGCCAUUCCUAGGCUCAGGGAUGGGCGUGUAACACCAAUGGGCAUCAGCCUGGGGACUUGCUGGGAGUCAGGAUUACGAAUGCCAAGAUGCCAGCCCCCAAAGGCUGCUGGUCAUUUUUACCACCCUGAGGGGAGAGCCUGCUGGAGAACAAACAGAGCCAAGCAGAGCCAGAGACUGAAUCUCAGUGAUGUGGCU
RNAcentral lists this long non-coding RNA (1262 nucleotides) under Urocitellus parryii (Arctic ground squirrel). Its description in RNAcentral is "lncRNA (ENSUPAG00010009922.1)". Lineage: Eukaryota; Metazoa; Chordata; Mammalia; Rodentia; Sciuridae. The record is from RNAcentral.